RNAcentral lists this ribosomal RNA (446 nucleotides) under uncultured soil bacterium. RNAcentral describes it as "bacterial SSU rRNA". It matches the Rfam family "Bacterial small subunit ribosomal RNA", at positions 26 to 518 of the family's 1533-position model. The record is from RNAcentral.
AGAGCGAACGCUGGCGGCAGGCCUAACACAUGCAAGUCGAACGGACCCUUCGGGGUUAGUGGCGGACGGGUGAGUAACACGUGGGAACGUGCCUUUAGGUUCGGAAUAGCUCCUGGAACCGGGUGGUAAUGCCGAAUGUGCCCUUCGGGGGAAAGAUUUAUCGCCUUUAGAGCGGCCCGCGUCUGAUUAGCUUGUUGGUGAGGUAAUGGCUCACCAAGGCUACGAUCAGUAGCUGGUCUGAGAGGAUGACCAGCCACAUUGGGACUGAGACACGGCCCAAACUCCUACGGGAGGCAGCAGUGGGGAAUCUUGCGCAAUGGGCGAAAGCCUGACGCAGCCAUGCCGCGUGUAUGAUGAAGGUCUUAGGAUUGUAAAAUACUUUCACCGGUGAAGAUAAUGACUGUAGCCGGAGAAGAAGCCCCGGCUAACUUCGUGCCAGCAGCCGC